AUGGAGGCUGAGUAUAUUGCUGCGUCAGAAGCUGCGAAGGAGGCGGUGUGGCUGAAGGAAUUUCUUUCGACUUUGGAGUUUGUUGAAAGUGCUAGAAAACCAAUGGUGGUGUGUUGUGAUAAUCAGGCUGCAAUAAAGGUUUCCAGAUAUCCCAAGUUCCACAACAAGAUCAAACAUAUUGAGGGAAGAGUUUCUACCUAG
This 201-nucleotide ribosomal RNA is filed under the name Triticum aestivum (bread wheat). Its description in RNAcentral is "partial small subunit ribosomal RNA". The record is from RNAcentral. Lineage: Eukaryota; Viridiplantae; Streptophyta; Magnoliopsida; Poales; Poaceae.